Non-coding RNA from Notechis scutatus (mainland tiger snake), 160 nucleotides. Lineage: Eukaryota; Metazoa; Chordata; Lepidosauria; Squamata; Elapidae. The record is from RefSeq and is a predicted model, not a curated record.
CCUGCCACGCCCACCAAGCCAUGUCCACAGAACCGGUAGUAAAAAAAAUUUGAAUCCCACCACUGAGUUGUGGCCAAGCAAGAGAUGUUGAUCCAACUAUUCUUGUAGGUAGAUCUUACUUUAUGCCUUAGGAGAGAGUCAUCCAGUUCCAUGUAUGGAC